RNAcentral lists this ribosomal RNA (440 nucleotides) under uncultured bacterium. RNAcentral describes it as "partial 16S ribosomal RNA". It matches the Rfam family "Bacterial small subunit ribosomal RNA", at positions 339 to 795 of the family's 1533-position model. The record is from RNAcentral.
CUACGGGCCGCAGCAGUGAGGAAUAUUGCACAAUGGGGGGAACCCUGAUGCAGCAACGCCGCGUGGAGGAUGACGCAUUUCGGUGUGUAAACUCCUUUUAUAUGUCAAGAAAAUGACGGUAGCAUAUGAAUAAGCACCGGCUAACUCCGUGCCAGCAGCCGCGGUAAUACGGAGGGUGCAAGCGUUACUCGGAAUCACUGGGCGUAAAGGACGCGUAGGCGGGUUGGAAAGUCAGGUGUGAAAUCCUACAGCUUAACUGUAGAACUGCACUUGAAACUUUCUAAUUUGGAGUAUGGGAGGGGGAGAUGGAAUUAGUGGUGUAGGGGUAAAAUCCGUAGAUAUCACUAGGAAUACCUAAAGCGAAGGCGAUCUCCUGGAACAUUACUGACGCUAAGGCGUGAAAGCGUGGGGAGCAAACAGGAUUAGAUACCCCAGUAGUC